Molecule: ribosomal RNA, 468 nt
Filed under: uncultured bacterium
Lineage: Bacteria
Description: partial 16S ribosomal RNA
Rfam family: Bacterial small subunit ribosomal RNA
Source: RNAcentral
GACGAACGCUGGCGGCGUGCUUAACACAUGCAAGUCGAACGGAAAGGCCCUGCUUUUGUGGGGUGCUCGAGUGGCGAACGGGUGAGUAACACGUGAGUAACCUGCCCUUGACUUUGGGAUAACUUCAGGAAACUGGGGCUAAUACCGGAUAGGAGCUCCUGCUGCAUGGUGGGGGUUGGAAAGUUUCGGCGGUUGGGGAUGGACUCGCGGCUUAUCAGCUUGUUGGUGGGGUAGUGGCUUACCAAGGCUUUGACGGGUAGCCGGCCUGAGAGGGUGACCGGCCACAUUGGGACUGAGAUACGGCCCAGACUCCUACGGGAGGCAGCAGUGGGGAAUAGUGCGCAAUGGGCGGAAGCCUGAUGCAGCAACGCCGCGUGCGGGAUGACGGCCUUCGGGUUGUAAACCGCUUUCGCCUGUGACGAAGCGUGAGUGACGGUAAUGGGUAAAGAAGCACCGGCUAACUACGUG